CAGGUGUGGACAAUGGGGUGUUGGCUACUCUUUGGGCCAUGCUCCAGCAAGUCAGAAGUUUCACGAGGUUGAUCCUAGAACAGGGCAAUAUAAGGGGUGCGAAGGAAGCAAUACUGCAACAGAAAUACUCCUGAGUGCUCUGUGAGGAAGCAUUCUCUCAGCACAACCUGGUCCCUGUGCCUCCAGCCCUGCCCAGCUAAGGCAGAGAACCCGGAGUGGUCAGAACAGCUCUGCCAUGUGCUGCCCUGCUCAGCUGCCCUCUGCGCCAAGGAUGAGUGCACAGCAGCUCUUGAUAAAAAAAGAUCACUCCAGCAAAUCUCAGAGAUUGCAGGGCAGAAAAGAUUUCUGUUCCCAGUCCACUUGGCAUGCAAGUCAAAAUAGCCCGGGCCUCUUCUGCCAGUGGCUGAAGUGAAGACGCCCAACACUGUGCUGAGGGAUGACAAGCCACAGCCCAGGAGCUCAGCUGUGCCACUGAUGACUGCCCUCAAACAGGUGGGAGCAGCCGAGAUCCAGACAUUUCUUGCUGCUCACAGAGGGAAUGAGUUCCCACACCUGGUGCUUCUCAGAUCUCGCUCAGCAGGACACAGACAGGGCUGCUUCCCUGCCCUGCAGGUAUGUUUUGAAAGCAAGCGGAUUGAAGUCAACAGGCCCCACACAGAACUGUAGAAGGGACUGCAGUGAAAGGAAGGUGCCCUUAACGGUGUUUAGCUU
RNAcentral lists this long non-coding RNA (711 nucleotides) under Gallus gallus (chicken). RNAcentral describes it as "long non-coding RNA NONGGAT009312". The record is from RNAcentral. Lineage: Eukaryota; Metazoa; Chordata; Aves; Galliformes; Phasianidae.